GAUGAACGCUGGCGGCGUGCUUAACACAUGCAAGUCGGACGGGAAACCUUUUAUUGAAGCUUCGGCAGAUUUAGCUGGUUUCUAGUGGCGGACGGGUGAGUAACGCGUGGGUAACCUGCCUUAUACAGGGGGAUAACAGUCAGAAAUGGCUGCUAAUACCGCAUAAGCGCACAGAGCUGCAUGGCUCAGUGUGAAAAACUCCGGUGGUAUAAGAUGGACCCGCGUUGGAUUAGCUGGUUGGUGGGGUAACGGCCCACCAAGGCGACGAUCCAUAGCCGGCCUGAGAGGGUGAACGGCCACAUUGGGACUGAGACACGGCCCAGACUCCUACGGGAGGCAGCAGUGGGGAAUAUUGCACAAUGGGGGAAACCCUGAUGCAGCGACGCCGCGUGAAGGAAGAAGUAUCUCGGUAUGUAAACUUCUAUCAGCAGGGAAGAUAAUGACGGUACCUGACUAAGAAGCCCCGGCUAACUACGUG
This 478-nucleotide ribosomal RNA is filed under the name uncultured bacterium. Its description in RNAcentral is "partial 16S ribosomal RNA". It matches the Rfam family "Bacterial small subunit ribosomal RNA", at positions 28 to 507 of the family's 1533-position model. The record is from RNAcentral.